This is a long non-coding RNA of Hevea brasiliensis (rubber tree), 1681 nucleotides long. RefSeq lists it as uncharacterized. The record is from RefSeq and is a predicted model, not a curated record. The transcript has 2 exons. NCBI's taxonomy places the organism in Eukaryota, Viridiplantae, Streptophyta, Magnoliopsida, Malpighiales, Euphorbiaceae.
UGAAAAAUUGCACAAAAUCGUAGUUUUAUUUAACCUCCUACUUCACUUGUAUUUCAAAUUGACACGGGGCUCAUUUGAAAUUCUUGUUGAAAAAAAUAUUUUUUAAAUAUAUUAAUAAAAUAUAUUUAAAAAUUAAUUUUAAUUAAUUUUAAUUAUAAAAAUAUUAAAAUAAUAAAAUAAUUUUUUUAAAUUAUUAUUUUUAAUAAUAUUUAAAAUAAUAUUUUUAUUUAAAAAAAUAAUUUAAACCUUCAUAAUUCAAUUCAAUGUGAAACGAGCUAAAAAGUCUUAAUAAUCAUUAUUGUGCCGUGUGCAUCGAAUGAACGUUGAUUCUGAAUUUCAUUUUUAUUUUUAUCUUUUUCAAAUUUUUAUGGCCUUGCUUUUGGUGGUCCUUAAACGCGUCAUCGCAAUGCCACCUAAGUUACGAUAUUUUCCACAGGUCCCGACAAUGCCCUUGAGAAACAACAUCCACUUUUACAAUUGUUUAAUUAUAUUUUUAUCCCCAACACUUCCCAUAAUUAAAAGUUAGUCUCUACCUUGUUGUGGUAUAUAGAAACCAUCUCUCCAACUGCUAAGCAAUUACCAUGGGAGCCGAUCUGUUUUUGGUGUGUAUUGGAAGAGAGAAAGAGAGGGUUGGAGGAAGUUCAUGGAGAUGGGUGGCUAGGCAAGAAGAAAAAGAAGGCUUUGUCUAAUCUCGGGUCAUCGUCUUGCCUACGCCACCCAUUCCAUCCACUUCCUUCAAUUUCUCCCUUUCUCUUUCAGAUCUAUGUAAACACAUGAAUAGAGAGAGGAUAAGAGGGAAAGGGAGAGGGUUGCUGGGAGUUAUGGGUAUGGGGGGAUUGGGCAUGAUUGCUUGCUUUGUUCAAAAGCAUAGACUAGCUAAUUUUUCCCGAGACCUCCCAUACCAGUGAUCUCCAGCUGUUUCCUUCCCUUCCCUAGCUUGUUCUUGGUUUUGUUUUAUCAACUUCUACACCAAGUCUGAUUAAUGAAGCCUGGAUCUGUUGAUUAAUGGAUGGAUCUGGGUCUAUAGUGGUUGAAGCACCAACAAAUUUCAGCAUCUGUUAAAAGUAUACUCCUGUGGGUUUUCAGUGCCUUUACUCUGUGAAAUCAACUCUCAGAGGAGUUCUUACUUUUGGCAAGAGUAACUUCGAUGAAAAAUAUGAAGUCUCUUUGGUGGACUUCACAGAGACUGAUGAGCUUGUUCUUAAUCUGGUGUUUUUGGGUUGCUGCUGAAAUCUACAAAAAAAAAAAAGUAAUAAUAAUAAAAUAAAAUAAAAUAAAAUAAAAUCUUAUCUUGCAAUAUCUCUUUAAGAAUUAUAACUUUCAUUCUCAGAAAUGAUUUCCUGUAACAUAACAAUCCAAACAACGCAGAGCUAAGAAAGGCUCUGACCGAGUAACAUAAUCAACAUCGCUAAAUGCUUUAACUAACUCGUGAGCAAUCUUUUUAGCUUCUCCAAGAAUCCAACGAAGGGAGAAGUCCCUUCAAUGCUGGAUAUAUUAUUAGUCAGACAUAGUGAACAAAACACUAUACAGCUUACCUUAGCAAAAUGCAUAUUUUGUUGAGAAUUGUUGAUUAUAUAGGCCUUAAUAAUUCAGGCAUAUUGUUUUUUUAUCUAUACAAAUGAAUUAAUGAUGACAAUAAGAAGAAAGUUACUAAAGAAAAAAAGAAAUUUGGUUCGCUGAA